RNAcentral lists this ribosomal RNA (708 nucleotides) under uncultured fungus. RNAcentral's name for it is "SSU rRNA". It matches the Rfam family "Eukaryotic small subunit ribosomal RNA", at positions 390 to 1099 of the family's 1831-position model. Lineage: Eukaryota; Fungi. The record is from RNAcentral.
GGGAGCCUGAGAAACGGCUACCACAUCCAAGGAUGGCAGCAGGCGCGCAAAUUACCCAAUCCCGACACGGGGAGGUAGUGACAAUAAAUAACAAUACGGGGUUCUUUAGGAUCUCGUAAUUGGAAUGAGUACAAUUUAAAUCUCUUAACGAGGAACAAUUGGAGGGCAAGUCUGGUGCCAGCAGCCGCGGUAAUUCCAGCUCCAAUAGCGUAUAUUAAAGUUGUUGCAGUUAAAAAGCUCGUAGUUGAAUUUCGGGGUUAGUAGGUUGGUCAUGCCUCUGGUAUGUACUGGUCUCACUGAUUCCUCCUUCCUUAUGAACCGUAAUGCCAUUAAUUUGGUGUUGCGGGGAAUUUGGACUGUUACUUUGAAAAAAUUAGAGUGUUUAAAGCAAGCUAACGCUUGAAUACAUUAGCAUGGAAUAAUGAAAUAGGACGUUCGAUCUUAUUUUGUUGGUUUCUAGGAUUGACGUAAUGAUUAAUAGGGAUAGUUGGGGGCAUUAGUAUUCAAUUGUCAGAGGUGAAAUUCUUGGAUUUAUUGAAGACUAACUACUGCGAAAGCAUUUGCCAAGGAUGUUUUCAUUAAUCAAGAACGAAAGUUAGGGGAUCGAAGACGAUCAGAUACCGUCGUAGUCUUAACCAUAAACUAUGCCGACUAGGGAUCGGAUGAUGUUAAUUUUUUAAUGACUCAUUCGGCGCCUUACGGGAAACC